UUGUUGGUAAGGUAAAAGCUUACCAAGGCUUCGAUCAGUAGCUGGUCUGAGAGGACGACCAGCCACACUGGGACUGAGACACGGCCCAGACUCCUACGGGAGGCAGCAGUGGGGAAUUUUGGACAAUGGGGGCAACCCUGAUCCAGCCAUGCCGCGUGAGUGAAGAAGGCCUUCGGGUUGUAAAGCUCUUUCAGCCGGAACGAAACGGUUACGGAUAACACCCGUGACUACUGACGGUACCGGAAGAAGAAGCACCGGCUAACUACGUGCCAGCAGCCGCGGUAAUACGUAGGGUGCGAGCGUUAAUCGGAAUUACUGGGCGUAAAGCGUGCGCAGGUGGUUUUGUAAGUCAGAUGUGAAAGCCCCGGGCUCAACCUGGGAACUGCGUUUGAAACUACAAGACUAGAGUGUGGCAGAGGGGGGUGGAAUUCCGCGUGUAGCAGUGAAAUGCGUAGAGAUGUGGGGGAACACCGAUGGCGAAGGCAGCCCCCUGGGUCAACACUGACGCUCAGGCACGAAAGCAUGGGGAGCAAACAGGAUUAGAUACCCUGGUAGUCCAUGCCCUAAACGAUGUCAACUAGUUGUCGGGCCUUUACGGGCUUGGUAACGUAGCURACGCGUGAAGUUGACCGCCUGGGGAGUACGAUCGCAAGAUUAAAACUCAAAUGAAUUGACGGGGACCCGCACAAGCGGUGGAUUAUGUGGAUUAAUUCGAUGCAACGCGAAAAACCUUACCUACCCUUGACAUGUAUCGAAGCCCGCAGAAAAGCGGGGGUGCCCGAAAGGGAACGAUAACACAGGUGCUGCAUGGCUGUCGUCAGCUCGUGUCGUGAGAUGUUGGGUUAAGUCCCGCAACGAGCGCAACCCUUGUCAUUAAUUGCCAUCAUUUAGUUGGGCACUUUAAUGAGACUGCCGG
RNAcentral lists this ribosomal RNA (916 nucleotides) under uncultured bacterium. Its description in RNAcentral is "bacterial SSU rRNA". It matches the Rfam family "Bacterial small subunit ribosomal RNA", at positions 246 to 1155 of the family's 1533-position model. The record is from RNAcentral.